GGGCGCAAAUCUAGGCCGGGGGUAGCCCCCGCCCCCUCACUGCCCCGAUGCAGCCGGCCUCAGCCACCGUCCAGGACUCGCACCCACUCUUGCACCCCAGAUUCCCUGCCGAUUGCGAGGCCGGAACUCGGCAGAGGCCGGGGAGCCCCAGCCGGCCUGCCGCUCUCCGUGCUCCGCCAAGGGACUUCCUCCGCGCUGCACCACCCUUCGGGACACAAAGAACUUCUGUUAGUUUUGAAAAGCUUGCCUCAAAAGCGUCCGAAAGAGACUGUUGCCCCAACUUUGGACGGGCGACGGGAGGGGACGCUCCUGUUUUUAUUUACCGCCCCUCACCCCAGGCUUGCUUUCCUCACGCCCCCUCACUCAACAUUUAGAAGGAAAGUUGAGGGAAAGCCACCGAGUGAGAGCAGAAAACCUGCCGUGUAGCCCGUUUUGUUCUGUCAACCGCGAAGAAAGGUUACCGAAACCUCUCCCCCCGCGACUAAUUCUUUUGCUUCUCAACUUGAGCUCUCGAAUUUCGAAAAGGAUGAGACAUUGCUGUUCACCUAAGCGAAACUCCAAAGUUUACCAAACUCGAGCCCCGAGGGCUUAGACAGUUCUGUACAGCACAAGAUCGAGUGAUUUUGCGAUUUUUACCCCCCAGCGGAGAUGGGGGGGACCACGCCGGCCAUCCUCCCCCUCCCCCUCCUCCUCGGUAGGUGGCGACCACGGCGCUUUUUCCAGCCUUUGUCGCUGGAAAGAAAACUUUCCGAGCAGCCAGGCUUUUGAUGUAGGUCCAAGACCUUCCCUUUGACUCUUCGUUCCAGAUUGGCGUUCCCCAUCUUUCUUGCAAUAGACCGCACCCAUAAGGCAGCCGAAUCUAGAAUUUCCAUGCUGGGAUUCUUUAAGAUAGAGGGAGACUUUAAAGAUCCCUGCAGAAGCGGUCCGAUUGCAGAUUUCCACAUUUUUACGAUUUCCCCUGCAACGUUUUUACAGGCAUUUUGUCCCCGCCUAACCCGAUUGUGACUCUCCUUUGUCGAGUCUCUCCAAAGCGUUCAUUUCGUUUUCAUGAAAAGUUUUCUUUUUGCACUCGUAUUUCGUUAACAUACUGGACUAUUAAAUUCCGUAUUCCCAGUAGCACGUAAAACUGACAUCUAUGUAAGGAACAAACCAAAUUUUGAGAAAGUCUGCAAUUGAGCUGAUGGGAGCAGUCAGCCUUCCAGGGACAAACAUUCAGCCGCUGUGAGCACCGGGAGAAUCAUACUGCUAUAUGUGAGCAGCCCCGUGGAGAGGCCCAGGUGCUGGGAAAGUGAAGCCAUUGGCCAACAGCCACGUGAGCGAGCUUGGGAACAGAUUCUCCUGCCCCGAUUCCAGGAGGUGACUGCUACCCAACCAUGGCUGGAGUGCAAGCUCCUGGGACGCUCACAGCCAGAAGCACUCCUCCAGCUGCUCCUGGAUUCCUGACCCUCAGAACCAAUACUAGACAGGAACCAAGGUGCUGAGGCCCUGAGGACACCCUGAGGACACCCAAGGUCCCGGAGAGGAGAAACCCCUCAGGAGCUGUCAUCUGGUCGUGUCUAAUCUGCCGUCUGUUAGCCUGAGGAUUAACUGAAUUUUGCCCGAGGGAAGAAAGCAACCAAGCUUAUUAAAUCACAGCCACGCUACGUACACAAUUCCAAAGCAGUCGGCUCGGCUCGGGGGCAAAGUACGAGAACCCUCAACAGCUGUGUCCUCUCUCCACUAGUUUGAGGUCUGCAGCCAGACUGGUGACUGUGAACUGACAAUCGUGAUCCCAAGGGGGCAAAGG
This is a long non-coding RNA of Lynx canadensis (Canada lynx), 1786 nucleotides long. RefSeq lists it as uncharacterized. NCBI's taxonomy places the organism in Eukaryota, Metazoa, Chordata, Mammalia, Carnivora, Felidae. The transcript is spliced from 4 exons. The record is from RefSeq and is a predicted model, not a curated record.